GGGGCUAGCGCAUGGGAGAGGCGCAUCAUUUAUUUUAAAUGAAGGGAGUGGGUUCGAUUCCCACAGCUCCA
Molecule: transfer RNA, 71 nt
Filed under: Blautia massiliensis (ex Durand et al. 2017)
Lineage: Bacteria; Bacillati; Bacillota; Clostridia; Lachnospirales; Lachnospiraceae
Description: tRNA-Lys
Source: RNAcentral